AUUGAACGCUGGCGGCAUGCCUUACACAUGCAAGUCGAACGGUAACGCGGGGCAACCUGGCGACGAGUGGCGAACGGGUGAGUAAUGUAUCGGAACGUGCCCAGUUGUGGGGGAUAACUACUCGAAAGAGUAGCUAAUACCGCAUACGACCUGAGGGUGAAAGCGGGGGAUCGCAAGACCUCGCGCAAUUGGAGCGGCCGAUAUCAGAUUAGCUAGUUGGCGGGGUAAAAGCCCACCAAGGCGACGAUCUGUAGCUGGUCUGAGAGGACGACCAGCCACACUGGGACUGAGACACGGCCCAGACUCCUACGGGAGGCAGCAGUGGGGAAUUUUGGACAAUGGACGCAAGUCUGAUCCAGCCAUGCCGCGUGCGGGAAGAAGGCCUCGG
This 388-nucleotide ribosomal RNA is filed under the name uncultured bacterium. Its description in RNAcentral is "bacterial SSU rRNA". It matches the Rfam family "Bacterial small subunit ribosomal RNA", at positions 29 to 420 of the family's 1533-position model. The record is from RNAcentral.